AUUGAACGCUGGCGGCAUGCUUUACACAUGCAAGUCGAACGGUAACAGGGAGCUUGCUCCGCUGACGAGUGGCGAACGGGUGAGUAAUGCGUCGGAACGUGCCGAGUAGUGGGGGAUAACGCAUCGAAAGGUGUGCUAAUACCGCAUACGAACUGAGGUUGAAAGUGGGGGACCUUCGGGCCUCACGCUAUUCGAGCGGCCGACGUCUGAUUAGCUAGUUGGUGAGGUAAAGGCUCACCAAGGCGACGAUCAGUAGCGGGUCUGAGAGGAUGAUCCGCCACACUGGAACUGAGACACCGCCCAGACUACUACGGGAGGCAGCAGUGGGGAAUUUUGGACAAUGGGCGCAAGCCUGAUCCAGCCAUGCCGCGUGUCUGAAGAAGGCCUUCGGGUUGUAAAGGACUUUUGUCCGGGAGCAAAUACCCAGUGCUAAUAACGCUGGGGGCUGAGAGUACCGGAAGAAUAAGCACCGGCUAACUACGUGCCAGCCGCCGCAGUAA
RNAcentral lists this ribosomal RNA (500 nucleotides) under uncultured bacterium. RNAcentral's name for it is "partial 16S ribosomal RNA". It matches the Rfam family "Bacterial small subunit ribosomal RNA", at positions 30 to 523 of the family's 1533-position model. The record is from RNAcentral.